This 333-nucleotide ribosomal RNA is filed under the name uncultured bacterium. Its description in RNAcentral is "bacterial SSU rRNA". It matches the Rfam family "Bacterial small subunit ribosomal RNA", at positions 568 to 899 of the family's 1533-position model. The record is from RNAcentral.
UGCGCAGGCGGUUUUGUAAGACAGAUGUGAAAUCCCCGGGCUUAACCUGGGAACUGCGUUUGUGACUGCAAGACUUGAGUAUGGCAGAGGGGGGUAGAAUUCCACGUGUAGCAGUGAAAUGCGUAGAGAUGUGGAGGAAUACCGAUGGCGAAGGCAGCCCCCUGGGUCAAUACUGACGCUCAUGCACGAAAGCGUGGGGAGCAAACAGGAUUAGAUACCCUGGUAGUCCACGCCCUAAACGAUGCCAACUAGGUGUUGGGGAAGGAGACUUCCUUAGUACCGUAGCUAACGCGUGAAGUUGGCCGCCUGGGGAGUACGGUCGCAAGAUUAAAA